RNAcentral lists this ribosomal RNA (812 nucleotides) under uncultured Acidobacteriota bacterium. RNAcentral's name for it is "bacterial SSU rRNA". It matches the Rfam family "Bacterial small subunit ribosomal RNA", at positions 106 to 934 of the family's 1533-position model. Lineage: Bacteria; Pseudomonadati; Acidobacteriota. The record is from RNAcentral.
GUGAGUAACACGUGACUAACCUGCCCUAGAGUGGGGGAUAACCUCGGGAAACCGGGGCUAAUACCGCAUAACAUCGCGAGGGGAAGAUCCUUGCGAUCAAAGGAGCAAUUCGCUCAAGGAGGGGGUCGCGGCUGAUUAGCUAGUUGGUGAGGUAACGGCUCACCAAGGCGAAGAUCAGUAGCCGGCCUGAGAGGGCGCACGGCCACACUGGAACUGAAACACGGUCCAGACUCCUACGGGAGGCAGCAGUGGGGAAUUUUGCGCAAUGGGGGAAACCCUGACGCAGCAACGCCGCGUGGAGGAUGAAGUCCCUUGGGAUGUAAACUCCUUUCGAUCGGGACGAUUAUGACGGUACCGGAAGAAGAAGCACCGGCUAACUCUGUGCCAGCAGCCGCGGUAAUACAGAGGGUGCAAGCGUUGUUCGGAAUUAUUGGGCGUAAAGGGCGCGUAGGCGGUGCGGUAAGACUGUGGUGAAAUCUCCGGGCUCAACUCGGAAAUUGCCGCGGUGACUGCCGUGCUGGAGUGUGGGAGAGGUGAGUGGAAUUCCCGGUGUAGCGGUGAAAUGCGUGGAUAUCGGGAGGAACACCUGUGGCGAAAGCGGCUCACUGGACCACAACUGACGCUGAGGCGCGAAAGCUAGGGGAGCAAACAGGAUUAGAUACCCUGGUAGUCCUAGCCCUAAACGAUGAUUGCUUGGUGUAUCGGGUACCCAAUCCCGAUGUGCCGGAGCUAACGCGAUAAGCAAUCCGCCUGGGGAGUACGGUCGCAAGACUGAAACUCAAAGGAAUUGACGGGGGCCCGCACAAGCGGUG